Molecule: non-coding RNA, 72 nt
Organism: Salmo salar (Atlantic salmon)
Lineage: Eukaryota; Metazoa; Chordata; Actinopteri; Salmoniformes; Salmonidae
Source: Rfam
UCCCCUGUGGCUCAGUUGGUAGAGCAUGGUGUUUGCAACGCCAGGGUUGUGGGUUCGAUUCCCGCGGGGGAC